Cannabis sativa is the source of this 1797-nucleotide RNA transcript. It is a transcript of the gene named protein TRANSPARENT TESTA 9-like, with no coding region annotated. NCBI's taxonomy places the organism in Eukaryota, Viridiplantae, Streptophyta, Magnoliopsida, Rosales, Cannabaceae. The record is from RefSeq and is a predicted model, not a curated record. The transcript has 6 exons.
ACAAACACAAGCUAAACCUUCUCAAUCCCUCUCUUUCGCGACCCAGAAAUGGCCGCCACAGCCUCCUCCUCAUAAACCCAUUCACCUUGUUCCUCCUCUUCUUUCGCAGAUUCGUUCUCUUUGGGUUUUUUUUUUGUCGGAGAGUUUGAUUUGGGAAUCCGAUCUUUUUCUUCAUCGAUCUUCAGUACCGGUUGUUUGGGGGUUUCUUUUCGGGUGAAAGUUAGGGUUUUAGGGUUUGGUUUUACUGCAAUCUUACCUAAUUUAAAAAACUCGAACUAUAGAUACAAGCCCUGUCGUAAAAAUUUGAUCUUUUUAUUGUUUAGGUUAAACUUCCUUAGGCUUGGAUUGUCGUGGGUCAGCUAGAAAUUUUCCGAGCAAAUCACAUGUCUGACCAUUUGAGUUUCUAUUCUAAACAUGUCAAUUUUUGUGUAUUAUUUGAUUCUGUUAAUUGAAGAACAUUGUACUCAGUAAGUUAGAUUUACUUAAUUAUGUUGGAUGGUGUAAAUUUUGUAGGUGGCGCUCUUGGGUUGGCCAUGGGUUUGUUUAUAGGUUCUCUAGAUAAUCCUAUAACUCGAGAUGAGAUGAGUGGUAAGCAGCAAUUUGUUUAUCAGGCAAAGCAGAUGGGGCGCAGGAGCUGGAGUUCUGCAAAGGCAUUUGCUGUUAUGGGAUUUGUUUUCUCUGCGGCCGAGUGCGUUAUUGAAAAGGCGCGAGCAAAGCAUGACACAACAAAUACAGUUGUUGCUGGCUGUGUUACUGGGGGUACAAUAUCGGCUAAAGGUAACAUGUUUCUCUUUUCUGAUGAGGUUAUAGCAAUUUACAGUAAAAACUUACACAUUGUGUAUUUUUUUUUCCUUCAAUACUUUGGUUUUCAUCUGCCAGAGUUAGUAAUUGCUUGAUAUGCUUUACUGAUACUAUUUACAGUAGCAAGUAAUUAGGAGUUGUGUACUUUGAAGUUCUUUGGCAUUGUUCCUUAUCUUAUUUUGGGAGAAAAUUGGUGCCGAGCUUUCGAUAGAGGAGCUUGGUAAAAGAGAUGUGGAAUUUUUUUUAUUUGCAAAUCAACAAUGUGGUGAAGUUAGCUGUUUAGAGGGGCACAUGGUAAUACUACUACUAACCAUAGAAACAAGACGAGUAAGAGACUACUGUGUCCCAUCACAUCUCACACUCCAAUUUCUAUUCAGAAAUGCACAUAACUUUUACCGCUAAAUUUCUUCGCUCCAAAACCAGAUCGUCUUCUUCUUCCUCCACACCUCUCCUUCGAUCACCAUGUGGCUCUCUUUCUUUCGCCCGCUCGACCGAUUUUCCCUCCAAAACUUCAAAUAUGUAGUGAAUGAACUCCGGGAAAUUAAAGUUGUGGAUGAGCACAACAAGGAAUCAGUGGUAGAUCUGUUGCAGUCUGUAGUGGAGAUAGUUACCUAUGGGGACAAACAAGACCCGAUGAUUUUUGAAUAUUUUAUGGAAUGUCAAGUUUUAGCUGAGUUUCUUCGUGUACUUAAAAUUAGUAGGGAUUCGAGAAUUGAAAUACCAUUGCUUCAGUAUCUGAGCAUAAUGAUUCAAAAUAUGGAUAGUGAGCAUGCAAUUUACUAUUGUUUUAGCAAUGAUUAUAUCAACAACAUCAUAGAACAUCAGUACCAAUUCAAUCGAGGGGAUCUGGCCCAGUAUUAUGUAUCCUUUCUAAGGUUAUUUGUGUGCUCUUUUAAAUAAUUUCUGUUUGGAAACUUGGGCCUUCUUUUUGUUCAUUUGUGAUAAGCCAAGUGGUUUUGCUGGUUAAUUUCUGUUAUAACAAUUUCUUGUUAGUUA